RNAcentral lists this unclassified non-coding RNA (323 nucleotides) under Acromyrmex echinatior (Panamanian leafcutter ant). RNAcentral's name for it is "uncharacterized LOC105146130, transcript variant X4". Lineage: Eukaryota; Metazoa; Arthropoda; Insecta; Hymenoptera; Formicidae. The record is from RNAcentral.
CUUACAUUUCAAUAUGUGAAUACAAUACCAUGCAAAGUCUAGAUGUACUGAACGAUGACGAAUACAGCUCUUGAGAUAUUUUCGGACUUUCACGAGACAACCAUGAAAUCAAAUGGACUAAGGAAAGCUUCGACGAGGGACUUAGAACAAACAAUGCUGAAAACCAUCGUCUAUUGAAAGAAGGCCAACAAUACAUUUCAGAGGAAAAGAACUUUCUCGCUUUAGGCCUUCUCGAGGAAGAAGAAGAUAGAGAAAAGCCGUUCUACGAAGAUGCUCAGUCAUUUAACAUCGUUACAUUUAAAAUCGAAAUUUAAUUAUGUAAA